CUCACCCUCACACACACAUAGAUACCCACAAAAGGAAGAAAGAAAAAGAAAAGAAAAGGGAAGAGGGAAGGGGACCGAAGAAGGAAGCAGAUGGGGGAGAAGGAAAGGCGGCACGGUGGGUGUCACUGCCACCGUCGCCGCUGCUGUGAGAGAAAGAGAUCCGAGAGAGGGAAAGAAAGAGAAGUCGCGCUGCCAUCGGACCUUGGAGGAGGACCGUGCCUCGCCACCACCGCCGCGUUGCUCCGGACCGUCGCCUCGCUAAGCCAACCCGUUCUCUCGCCGUUGUCGUCAUCAAAGGACAGAGACGCGCACAGGGGAGGAGCUGUCACUAACUUCGCAUCCAUUGCCACCAACCACGAGCCAGAGCGGGAAGGAGAUAUCAUCGCCAGCUUUGUCAGAUCUCUGGUGCUGAACUCACCUCUGCCAUCGCGUCGAAUCGCGAACAGAGAACCGCCGCCAAAUCUGUCAUUGUCGCCAGAACGCGGUGGAAGGGAUGGAAGUUGUGCCGUCAUUGUUGGGUUCAUCGUUACUGCUAUUGUGUUAUGUCACUGUCACCGCUGAGAUGCCCGCUACCGCUAUAGCCCCGCUGCCGAAAAACCGCGGCUGCAGCCACCAGAGGACGCCCCUGCAGCUGCCAAAUCCCAUUCCCCUCCAGUUUGGGUUCUGGCUCUGGUUCAUUUAUGCUAGGUUUUGUUCUUUCGAGUGUCAAAGCCGCCAUUUUCUUGUGAGUUCUUCCACUGCUGGUUGAGGCGGCCACUGUUGGAGCUUGCCGAAAUUAAUCGCUGGAGCUGCGGCUGUGUUGUACUUAGUUUCUUGUUGGUACAAGUAGCUGUGGUUGCUGUAAAAGUGGUUUGGAGUUGAGGAUGAGGCUGCCGCAUUGUGGGCCGAGAGAAAAAUCGAAUUUAUCUCGUAGCUAAGUUGUAAAUGAGGAACCAGAUGAAGCAUUAUGAAGAGUUAUACUGCGUUUGGUUUAUAUGUUGUAUUAAUUAGAUUAUUUUCUUCCCUCGCCUUUGUUAUUACAAGUUUGUAAGAGGGAUAGGAGUUGUAUGUUUUAUAUGUAUAUUAUAUUAUGAGAUAUUUUGUAAGGGGUUUUGUAUAUGAAUCUAUGCCUGCUUAUAUUUUUCUUAAGAUAAAUUAUUCAUUUCCGG
Molecule: long non-coding RNA, 1148 nt
Organism: Arachis stenosperma
Lineage: Eukaryota; Viridiplantae; Streptophyta; Magnoliopsida; Fabales; Fabaceae
Exons: 4
Source: RefSeq, a predicted model, not a curated record